GCCGGGAUGGCGGAAACCGGUAACGCGCCAGUGCUUUUGAUCUGGUUUCCUUCGGGAAGUUUGGGUUCAAAUCCCAAUCCCGGCG
RNAcentral lists this transfer RNA (85 nucleotides) under Candidatus Micrarchaeum sp. AZ1. RNAcentral describes it as "tRNA-Lys". It matches the Rfam family "tRNA". Rfam says of the family: Transfer RNA (tRNA) molecules are approximately 80 nucleotides in length. Their secondary structure includes four short double-helical elements and three loops (D, anti-codon, and T loops). Further hydrogen bonds mediate the characteristic L-shaped molecular structure. tRNAs have two regions of fundamental functional importance: the anti-codon, which is responsible for specific mRNA codon recognition, and the 3' end, to which the tRNAs corresponding amino acid is attached (by aminoacyl-tRNA synthetases). tRNAs cope with the degeneracy of the genetic code in two manners: having more than one tRNA (with a specific anti-codon) for a particular amino acid; and 'wobble' base-pairing, i.e. permitting non-standard base-pairing at the 3rd anti-codon position. The record is from RNAcentral. RNAcentral also lists the same sequence under 2 other names. Lineage: Archaea; Nanobdellati; Microcaldota; Candidatus Micrarchaeia; Candidatus Micrarchaeales; Candidatus Micrarchaeaceae.